RNAcentral lists this ribosomal RNA (511 nucleotides) under uncultured bacterium. RNAcentral's name for it is "bacterial SSU rRNA". It matches the Rfam family "Bacterial small subunit ribosomal RNA", at positions 15 to 518 of the family's 1533-position model. The record is from RNAcentral.
GAUCAUGGCUCAGGAUGAACGCUGGCGGCGUGCCUAACACAUGCAAGUCGAACGAAGCACUCUGAUCGGAGAUUACGUCAAAGAUCGGGAAUGACUUAGUGGCGGACGGGUGAGUAAUGCGUGAGCAACCUGCCUUUCAGAGGGGGACGAACAAGUUGGAAACGACUGCUAAUACCGCAUAAUGUACAGAGGGGGCAUCCCUUUUGUACCAAAGGAGCAAUCCGCUGAAAGAUGGGCUCACGUCUGAUUAGCUGGUUGGUGGGGUAACGGCCUACCAAGGCUGCGAUCAGUAGCCGGACUGAGAGGUUGAACGGCCACAUUGGGACUGAGAUACGGCCCAGACUCCUACGGGAGGCAGCAGUGGGGAAUAUUGGGCAAUGGGCGAAAGCCUCGACCCAGCAACGCCGCGUGAAGGAAGAAGGUCUUCGGAUUGUAAACUUCUUUUAUGAGGGACGAAGGACGUGACGGUACCUCAUGAAUAAGCCACGGCUAACUACGUGCCAGCAGCUGC